This is a non-coding RNA of Taeniopygia guttata (zebra finch), 1254 nucleotides long. NCBI's taxonomy places the organism in Eukaryota, Metazoa, Chordata, Aves, Passeriformes, Estrildidae. The record is from RefSeq and is a predicted model, not a curated record.
UUUGUGACACCACGCCUCUGUUUAUGUUUAAUGUGUUGGACACCUGCAAUUUCUGUAUGACCACUCUUACUCUGGGUUCCACACCAGGGAGAUCUAAAAAUGAGGCUUCCAUGUAUGCAAAAAGAGACUUGCAUAUGAAAGAACACCUUCCAGACACCAAGCUCCUGACUCCUGGCUCCUUUCAGGCAGGACUCACUCUGCUGCACCCCUCUUCACCUUAGUCUGAGCCUGAUGUGCUCCCAAAGAUCGAAGACCUGAGUUUGGAUCCUUCAAGGAAGUGCUUUAAUUGCCAGUGGCACGGGUGUUGCAUCUCAUUGUGCAGUCUCCUGUGCCUCACUGACAAAAUGCCUACUGGUGCCAGUUCCCAAGAGCGAGAGGUGAUGAAAGGGUCAGUACGGGACUUUUGCCAACACUUAGAUCCUAUCUAGGGAUCACAGCAGCUCAGUUACAUCAAGGCUCAACGAGCUUGUGAGUUCCUGUAAGCAAAACCUAGGCUUCAGGGUUGCAGUAACGUAGACAUCUACAGGUUGAAAUGGGAUUUGAACACAAGAUUUGCAACAAGUAUUAGUGUCAUUGUUGGACAAGGCACUCAAAGCAGAGGUACAACUUUUGAAGUACUCAGUGUCCAACACUUAAAAAACAAAGUAAUUGCACACAUAAAUGGCCAGAAUUAGCCAGGUUUCAUUACUUGCUGCGUUAUGUACCAAUGCAACACAACACCACAGUUAUUGUAUUUUACAAAUUGGUCCCUUCAUAGUUGUUUCAGAGAGAUGUAGGCUAAUGAAGCAACAUUCUGUCAUGGACUCAAGAGGCAGAAGUGUCUCUGUAGAUAUUUAAACAAGACCCUUGCUUAAAGAAUUAAUGUUGCUAGAAUAAAAUGAAGAUUGGAAUAGGCUCUCUAGUCAAGCAAUUCUUCCUAUUACAGCUAUCCUUAAGAAAUAAAAUGUAUGUUCCUAAAGCUGUGCCUUCUGGAAAUUUUGAGGAAAUUUAUGUGUCUUAAAAGUCAAUGUCCUUAGACAUCAUUAGACACAGAAGAGAAGCACAAUACAGAACAGGAGACUCUCUCAAUUAAAUGCUUAAAAUGUUCCAGUAACAAACUUCCCCACAUUAAACUAGAUGACAACUAACUGAGGCAUUUCUGAUGUGUUCUGCUGCUUUGGUGCUACACAAGCAGAGAUUUUCUCUAGAAGGUACAAGAUCCAGCCUACAAAGGCUACUUUGUGCACUGUUUCUCUGAAACAAUUUUUAUAGCAA